CAGCAGCCGCGGUAAUACGAAGGGGGCUAGCGUUGUUCGGAAUUACUGGGCGUAAAGCGCACGUAGGCGGAUCGAUCAGUCAGGGGUGAAAUCCCAGGGCUUAACCCUGGAACUGCCUUUGAUACUGUCGAUCUGGAGUAUGGAAGAGGUGAGUGGAAUUCCGAGUGUAGAGGUGAAAUUCGUAGAUAUUCGGAGGAACACCAGUGGCGAAGGCGGCUCACUGGUCCAUUACUGACGCUGAGGUGCGAAAGCGUGGGGAGCAAACAGGAUUAGAUACCCCGGUAGUCCCUGUCUCUUAUAC
This 301-nucleotide ribosomal RNA is filed under the name uncultured bacterium. Its description in RNAcentral is "partial 16S ribosomal RNA". It matches the Rfam family "Bacterial small subunit ribosomal RNA", at positions 509 to 807 of the family's 1533-position model. The record is from RNAcentral.